UGAAGAUCGUCCCGUGGCAUUUGUGGUGGCUGUUGUACUACCUAUCCGCCUGCUCCGGUAAGUCCGUCUUUAUACUUAGACUCACUUUAUCCCAUCGAAGAAGGCGCGUGGCGUUUGUCGCGCCAUUGUUCCUCCUACACCAGUCCGAGAAGCCGCUGCCAAAGUUUGGGAAGGAAGCCCGGUCAACACCGAGAAGCCAAACUGGUAAAACCGCAUUUCCGCGGGGGUGGCAAUCGGAAAUCGGCCCAGCUUCCGGUUAAUUACGCCUGAAACCCGUCGCUGUCGUCGAAAGUGGGCGGGAGUGCCGCCCUUUUCCCGCUUUUCGUCAUUUUAGGUACAGCCAACAGAUGGCGUGGGCGAAGGGACGAUCCGAGGUCCAGCCGAGGAGAGAAAGUGGACGAAAUGGAGUGUAUUUUAAGUAGUCUAAACUCUAAACCUGUGUCUAUAGAACUGCUAUACGUGGUCUUGGAUGGUGCCGUUAAUCGACUGGUUUUCAUUCUAUUCUGGAGGAAAUGCCAUCUGCUCGUUACCUGUCAGAUAGCCGAAUGUCCGGGUAGCUUACGUAACAAUGUUUACAUUGUAGGAGGAAAAACGAAACCAGGCACUAAAGUCGGCAGGGUAGUACCACGCUAAUCAGUGCCCGGGGAAACCAGAUACGUACGCAGGCGUUUAU
Molecule: long non-coding RNA, 673 nt
Filed under: Androctonus crassicauda
Lineage: Eukaryota; Metazoa; Arthropoda; Arachnida; Scorpiones; Buthidae
Source: RNAcentral